CAUCCUGUGCAACCGCACCAAAAUCGUCCAUAAGUAGAUUUUAUAUCUCACGGUUACAGGCGAGUCUUCACAGAGGG
Streptococcus parauberis NCFD 2020 is the source of this 77-nucleotide non-coding RNA. NCBI's taxonomy places the organism in Bacteria, Bacillati, Bacillota, Bacilli, Lactobacillales, Streptococcaceae. The record is from Rfam.